UUCCAUCUUGCUGUUCAUAAAUACCAUUCAUAGAAUUGUGCGCAACAUCAACUCCUGCAAGAUUUAAUUCUUGAUAUGAUAUGUUGACAAAGUCCUGCGCGUGCUCUGGUGCUUUUGCAACAAUCCCACUCUGCUGUCCAUGGACACCAUUCAUAUAAGCAUUUGCAGCAUCAACUUGCUGAGAUGAGAAAUCAACUUGCAUCAUUCCUUCUCCUCCUUGUGCUUUUGCAAGCCUAGGUGUAGAUUCAACACUUCCAUUCAUAGAACCAUUUGCAGCAUCAACUUGUUGAGAUGAGAAAUCAAGUUGCAUCAUUCCUUCUCCUCCUUGUACUUUUCCAAGCCUAGGUGUAGAUUCAAUACCAGUAGUACUGCAGAUUUCAAAAGAAUCAAAUUCAUCCUCUGGAGUGACUUUUAUAACCUCAACAGUCAAUUUUUGCCCCAAUUCUUGUCCUAAAGCAAUCUUAAAAGAACUCCUGAGGUAUUUUUUCAAUUUCUCCAUUAUGCUGUUCAGCAUUAUCCUACAAUCCCCAUAGUCUUUUUCAUUUGUAGGUAAAAAGAACUCCAGUAC
RNAcentral lists this long non-coding RNA (568 nucleotides) under Coffea arabica (coffee). Its description in RNAcentral is "long non-coding RNA (CARA_LNC004301)". Lineage: Eukaryota; Viridiplantae; Streptophyta; Magnoliopsida; Gentianales; Rubiaceae. The record is from RNAcentral.